RNAcentral lists this long non-coding RNA (975 nucleotides) under Gallus gallus (chicken). The record is from RNAcentral. Lineage: Eukaryota; Metazoa; Chordata; Aves; Galliformes; Phasianidae.
GGGGUAUAAAAAGAAGAUGGCAGUCUUCGGAAGGCUUGCUUUACUGGUGAUUCUCAACCAGUUGCAACAAAAAGCCAGAAACCAUAACUGAAGGAGACAGAAAUUCACUGCUCAUCAGUGGUUUCCCCUUCCAAAUGAUCUGAAUCUUGUUGGAUGCCGUAACAGGUAGAAGAAUAGGAGAAGAAGAAAGGCAGGCACAUUUUCACCCAAAGAAAUCUCUCUGCUUAAUCUAGUUGUCAAACUGUUCUACCAUUUACCUCAGAACAACAAAUUAUUUGUGGUGAAACAUCAGUGUCAACAUGAGACACAUCUCCAUUGAGUUUGAGCUGUUCCUCUUCCUUUUCUUCACCUAGGUCUUGCUUAAUUUCCUCUGACAAAUUCUUCUCCUCUGUAGGUAUCGCAGUUGCAUUUUCCUGAACCAAAUCUUCAGCUGCAACUUGUGUGCACUCAGCUGGUACAGUUAGCUGACUGACUUCUAGCGUGGCUUCCACAUGCUGUAUCUUUUCUUCAUGUUCUUUCCUUUUCACAUCUUCCUCUUCUUCCUGUUCUUCUCUGAUGACUUCCUCAACAGCCCUGUGAUGUGGCUGGUAUUCUCCCACCUCUUCAUCCUCACUCUCACUACUACUGCUGCUACUACUAUCUGAUGGCAAAGAAGAAGAGUCCUUUUUUGGCAAGUGCUCCACCUUACAUGUUUCCCCAGCAUCAGUGGCAACUUGUAUUUUCCCUUUGUUGGUUUCAUCUAUGACUAGUGUUUCUUCUAUCCCAACCUCUGCCUGCUUCUUCUCCUCCACUAUGUCCAGAGUCUCAUGUGAACUCUUUCCAUCCUGAAUCAACUCUAAUUGUGGAGUUUUGAGUGGGCUUCCAUCAUCUUCUCUGCCACCUUCUUUCAACUUGGCUUCUCCAGCAGCUGCAAGGUCAAUGAUCUUGUCUCCUCCAGGCUGCCCUCUUGUACGGAAGUCUCUUAGCAGACUUUGG